Molecule: non-coding RNA, 182 nt
Organism: Phoenix dactylifera (date palm)
Lineage: Eukaryota; Viridiplantae; Streptophyta; Magnoliopsida; Arecales; Arecaceae
Source: RefSeq, a predicted model, not a curated record
CCCAAUGUCGAUGCUGUUCGUCGACAUGGAAAACCCUUCCUCGCUUGGACGUUCGACUCAAAGAUCGUUGCCGUUGCGGCUUUGGGGAUAGCCGCGGAGGAGACCUCUCUGCCUGAGAAAAGAAUGAAGAAGACCAACACAUCAAAAGAGGUCAGCAAUCAAAUCAUUUUUGGUAUUGAAAU